This 253-nucleotide ribosomal RNA is filed under the name uncultured bacterium. RNAcentral describes it as "partial 16S ribosomal RNA". It matches the Rfam family "Bacterial small subunit ribosomal RNA", at positions 524 to 776 of the family's 1533-position model. The record is from RNAcentral.
UACGGAGGGUGCAAGCGUUAUCCGGAUUUACUGGGUUUAAAGGGUGUGUAGGCGGACUAUUAAGUCAGGGGUGAAAUCCCGGGGCUCAACCUCGGAACUGCCUUUGAUACUAUUAGUCUUGAAUUAUGUCGAGGUUGGCGGAAUAUAACAUGUAGCGGUGAAAUGCAUAGAUAUGUUAUAGAACACCGAUUGCGAAGGCAGCUGGCUAGACAUAUAUUGACGCUGAGGCACGAAAGCGUGGGGAUCAAACAGG